Molecule: ribosomal RNA, 253 nt
Filed under: uncultured bacterium
Lineage: Bacteria
Description: partial 16S ribosomal RNA
Rfam family: Bacterial small subunit ribosomal RNA
Source: RNAcentral
UACGAAGGGGGCUAGCGUUGCUCGGAAUCACUGGGCGUAAAGGGUGCGUAGGCGGGUCUUUAAGUCAGAGGGGAAAUCCUGGAGCUCAACUCCAGAACUGCCUUUGAUACUGAGGAUCUUGAGUACGGGAGAGGUGAGUGGAACUGCGAGUGUAGAGGUGAAAUUCGUAGAUAUUCGCAAGAACACCAGUGGCGAAGGCGGCUCACUGGCCCGUAACUGACGCUGAGGCACGAAAGCGUGGGGAGCAAACAGG